GCCCCCAUAGCUCAAUGGCAGAGCAGAGGACUCUUAAUCCUUUGAUGUAAGUUCGACUCUUACUGGGGGCA
RNAcentral lists this transfer RNA (71 nucleotides) under bacterium. RNAcentral's name for it is "tRNA-Lys". It matches the Rfam family "tRNA". Rfam says of the family: Transfer RNA (tRNA) molecules are approximately 80 nucleotides in length. Their secondary structure includes four short double-helical elements and three loops (D, anti-codon, and T loops). The record is from RNAcentral. RNAcentral also lists the same sequence under 2 other names.